CCUACGGGUGGCUGCAGUGGGGAAUAUUGGACAAUGGGGGCAACCCUGAUCCAGCCAUGCCGCGUGUGUGAAGAAGGCCCUCGGGUUGUAAAGCACUUUCAGUGAGGAAGAACGCCUGGUGGUUAAUACCCAUCAGGAAAGACAUCACUCACAGAAGAAGCACCGGCUAACUCCGUGCCAGCAGCCGCGGUAAUACGGAGGGUGCGAGCGUUAAUCGGAAUUACUGGGCGUAAAGCGCGCGUAGGUGGCUUGAUAAGCCGGUUGUGAAAGCCCCGGGCUCAACCUGGGAACGGCAUCCGGAACUGUCAAGCUAGAGUGCAGGAGAGGAAGGUAGAAUUCCCGGUGUAGCGGUGAAAAGCGUAGAGAUCGGGAGGAAUACCAGUGGCGAAGGCGGCCUUCUGGACUGACACUGACACUGAGGUGCGAAAGCGUGGGUAGCAAACAGGAUUAGAUACCCCGGUAGUC
Molecule: ribosomal RNA, 465 nt
Filed under: Vreelandella stevensii
Lineage: Bacteria; Pseudomonadati; Pseudomonadota; Gammaproteobacteria; Oceanospirillales; Halomonadaceae
Description: partial 16S ribosomal RNA
Rfam family: Bacterial small subunit ribosomal RNA
Source: RNAcentral